Molecule: long non-coding RNA, 2636 nt
Organism: Haplochromis burtoni (Burton's mouthbrooder)
Lineage: Eukaryota; Metazoa; Chordata; Actinopteri; Cichliformes; Cichlidae
Exons: 5
Source: RefSeq, a predicted model, not a curated record
UUUUUUUUUACACGUUAAUUUAUGUUGAAGUAAAGUGAAACCUUAGCGAGGACGGAAGUAAUGUCACAUGCUGCGUAAGGCAGGACGUGAUUCCUGCGUGAUUCCUUCGCUCAAAAGCCACAAGAACCGCGGGAAUAGAGGGAGGACGACCACGUAUAGUUUCAAACUGUAAAGCCAUAACUUUGAAGAAUUUCAGCAGCAAUGAAGACGCACUCGAUACUGCCCGCUUCCAACAUUAGCCCGAGGUGAAUAUGAAUGAAGAAUGACCAAUGCCUCUUUUUUGCAUCAGUUUCCUUGUUCUCCUUCUUCUACCUCUCUCUCUGUCCUGUGGUAGUGUACAACUUGAUAACAUCAGAAGUGAUUAUAUCACCAUCAUUCAAACGGAACUGCAGAGGACAACAGAAGAAAUCACAAGCUUGCUGCAAAACUCAGACUGUUCAGUAUUCUCACACAAGCUACGCAACUGCACACCAGGCAACGCAACGUCUGUGCGUACCUUACAUAACCUAGCCUGCAAAAUGCGGAGUUUACCGUUUCUCCAGAUGACUCUACAACUGAUCACGUCCGUCGAAAUUUCGAUGAGUUGCCAUUGUCGUGAGAAAUCAAUCAAAAUGCCCACUGAGAGUUUAAAGAGGAGAAGGGGAGCAACAAGACGAAGGAGGAACGAGGGGACGAAAAACAGAAAGCAGACUAAAAAACUGUGCAAAGCCAGGGCAAUUCUUUCCGCCAUGACUGAAUGCUACCAGAUGCUAAACUCUCUAUAAAUGGAUACCUGAAUCCAAACUCAAUCACAGCAUGAAGCUCAAAACUUGCAUGCGCUGUCAGUUCCUGUGCAGUAUGCAUUGCUUCGGUGGAUUAUGCGAGGAGGAGCUUCCACUUCAUUUAAGCUUUCCUGUCAAGUACCAGUAUAUUUCUGUAGCAGCUGUUUCAGGUGUUGUAUGACUACUGACUCUUCAGAUAAGUUUCCCAGCCACACAGAAGCAAAAUAUUCAGUCAAGCGGAAAUGAAAUUCCUAAGUCUUCCUAAUAUCCUGAUUUCCCACACACUAAGGACCAGCUGCAUAUACAACCUUUUAUGCAGCAUCAUGUGGACUACAAACAGUUUAAGGUGCAUGUUUUUUUUUAUUAUCACAGCAAAGCGUUUUAAUAGCUGAAGUUGUGUUUAGCUAUAAAAAGUGGAUAUGAUUAACUUUAAAGGUGCUUAAACUGAACUUUGUUUUUCCAAGCACUUGCUACGACAUUAACUUGCACUUAGUAGUGGCUGCUGAAGCAUGACUAGGAAAUAUUAAGGUGCUCAGAUAUAGUUUUGCUUUCACUUUGGAUUGGAAUAACUAGCCCUGGCAGAUCUUUUUUUAUCUUGGUUAUCUAAAGCUCCUCAAUUUUUGUUUUUAAUUUUCCUGUCCGGGGAGUUGUUUUAGGCUGUGUGUCAAGGUACGGUCUGAGAUGACACUGUGUUGAUUACUCAUUGACAAUGAUUUAUAUAUUAAAAGCAUGCUUUGCCACAGUUAUUUAAGCUCAGGUCACAGACCUUUUUUUUCCUAUCCUGGGAUAUAGCUACAGUACGAGCUUUUACUGUCACAAUCAGUUGGUGCUCUGAUUAAUGUUAUCUACCUAAAAACUUUUUUCCCUUUUUACACAAUUAUAGAAAAUAUAAGCAUGCAACCUUUGCUACAUUUUGCAGCUAUUUUCAGCACAGCAGCUAUUUGUUUCCCGUCAUGUAGCAUACAUUAUGUACUACAUAACAUUAUGUUGUUAUGUAGCUAACUUCUGUCUUUAAACUGUAUAUUUAAGCUGAUGACUAACAUUGUAUAUAACAUGGCAUACUAUUCAAAAAAUAUAUUUAUAUCCCAAACAAAGAUAAGGUGUGUGUUACUUAUUAGUCAGACUCACAAUUACAGCUGUCUUCAAAGAGGUUUAUUGAUGGUGGAUGUACACGGCAUUUGGUGCACAAUCAUAUCCAGUCUAACAGCUGACGUUAUCAUUACAGGAAAACGCAGCCCUCCAGUAGGCUUAAACCUUUCUCGUGACGUAACGUGAAUAUAGUUUGUUACCGGUAAUAAAUGCCCUACUUAGAUAAUUAAUCAUGCACCUCAAGGAGAGAUUUGUCCCCGCUCUUCCAAGUCUCACCAUAAAAUAACCUAUGUGGGGGUCAUCAAGCAAAGGUCGACAGCAAAAUUACUUUAGUGUCACCGUAUCGUUGAUUCUAAAUACCUUAAUGCACUGAACACUGACUCAGUAGAAACACUGCUGAGAAAGGAAAAAAAAAAAAAGCAAUUUCAACACACUGAGGUGUGUUUUGGUUUCACACAAUUCCAAAUGAAACCUAUUUUAAUUCUGUAGAACAUAAAAGAACAAACAAAAACCAUACAAUCACUGUUCAGUCAGUAAAAAUGAAAAGGAAUAAGAAAAUAAAUAAAUGUAUAAACCUAGUGGGAAUAAAGGGAAUGAGUAAAUGCUACAUUUGGGUAUAAUGUAUAUGGGAUAACAGGUUUUUCCUGUUAAGUGACCUUAAAGGGAGCACUGACCUGUAACAACUCAACCUUUUUUGGAUUGGUUCCUAAGAAAACAGGGUGAUAAGAUAAAAAUUUGAAGCUAUUUUCUUUAAAAAAAAAAAAAAAAAAAUCACACUGCUUUCUU